RNAcentral lists this ribosomal RNA (691 nucleotides) under Russula vesca. RNAcentral's name for it is "eukaryotic LSU rRNA". The stretch from base 259 to 412 matches the Rfam family "5.8S ribosomal RNA". Lineage: Eukaryota; Fungi; Basidiomycota; Agaricomycetes; Russulales; Russulaceae. The record is from RNAcentral.
AAAAGUCGUAACAAGGUUUCCGUAGGUGAACCUGCGGAAGGAUCAUUAUCGUAGUUNNUNGAGGUGCUGGGGCUGUCGCUGACCUUUGAAAAAGGUCGUGACGCCCGGAGCACUCUCUCAUAUCCAUCUCACCCCUUUGUGCAUUGCCGCGUGGGUCCCCUUUUGGCUUGUUCCGAGGGGGACCUGCGUUUUUACAUAGACACCCUUUGAAUGCAUGUGUAGAACGUCUUACUUUUUGCGAUCACACGCAAUCAAUACAACUUUCAACAACGGAUCUCUUGGCUCUCGCAUCGAUGAAGAACGCAGCGAAAUGCGAUACGUAAUGUGAAUUGCAGAAUUCAGUGAAUCAUCGAAUCUUUGAACGCACCUUGCGCCCCUUGGUAUUCCGAGGGGCACACCCGUUUGAGUGUCGUGAAUACUCUCAACCUUCUUGGUUUCUUUGACCAUGAAGGCUUGGACUUUGGAGGUUUUUCUUGCUGGCCUCUUUUGAAGCCAGCUCCUCCUAAAUGAAUGGGUGGGGUCCGCUUUGCUGAUCCUCGACGUGAUAAGCAUUUCUUCUACGUCUCAGUGUCAGCUCGGAACCUGCUUUCCAACCGUCUUUGGUCAUUGACAAUGUUCGAGUUGUGACUCGACCUUACAAACCUUGACCUCAAAUCGGGUGAGACUACCCGCUGAACUUAAGCAUAUCAAU